This 371-nucleotide ribosomal RNA is filed under the name uncultured organism. RNAcentral describes it as "bacterial SSU rRNA". It matches the Rfam family "Bacterial small subunit ribosomal RNA", at positions 527 to 896 of the family's 1533-position model. The record is from RNAcentral.
CGGGGGGGCAAGCGUUGUUCGGAAUUACUGGGCGUAAAGGGUGCGUAGGCGGCUCUCUAAGUCGGAUGUGAAAACUCUGGGCUCAACCCAGAGCCUGCAUCCGAAACUGGAGGGCUAGGGUUCUGGAGGGGAAAGCGGAAUUCCUGGUGUAGCGGUGAAAUGCGUAGAUAUCAGGAGGAACACCGGUGGCGAAGGCGGCUUUCUGGACAGAUACCGACGCUGAGGCACGAAAGCUAGGGGAGCAAACAGGAUUAGAUACCCUGGUAGUCCUAGCCCUAAACUAUGGGUACUUGCUGUGGGGGGGAUUGAAGCCCCUUGUGGCGAAGCUAACGCAUUAAGUAUCCCGCCUGGGGAGUGCGGUCGCAAGGCUG